Molecule: ribosomal RNA, 520 nt
Filed under: uncultured Glomus
Lineage: Eukaryota; Fungi; Glomeromycota; Glomeromycetes; Glomerales; Glomeraceae
Description: SSU rRNA
Rfam family: Eukaryotic small subunit ribosomal RNA
Source: RNAcentral
AGCAGCCGCGGUAAUUCCAGCUCCAAUAGCGUAUAUUAAAGUUGUUGCAGUUAAAAAGCUCGUAGUUGAAUUUCGGGAUCAAUUAGUCGGUCGUGCCUCUGGUACGUACUGGUUUUAUUGGUUCCUCCCUUCUGACGAAACAUGAUGUCAUUAAUUUGGUGUCGUGGAGAAUCAGGACUGUUACCUUGAAAAAUUAGAGUGUUUAUAGCAGGCUAACGCUUGAAUACAUUAGCAUGGAAUAAUGAAAUAGGACGUUCGACCCUAUUUUGUUGGUUUCUAGGAUCGACGUAAUGAUUAAUAGGGAUAGUUGGGGGCAUUAGUAUUCAAUUGUCAGAGGUGAAACUCUUGGAUUUAUUGAAGACUAACUACUGCGAAAGCAUUUGCCAAGGAUGUUUUCAUUAAUCAAGAACGAAAGUUAGGGGAUCGAAGACGAUCAGAUACCGUCGUAGUCUUAACCAUAAACUAUGCCGACUAGGGAUCGGAUGAUGUUAAUUUUUAAUGACUCAUUCGGCGCCUUAAC